This 434-nucleotide ribosomal RNA is filed under the name uncultured bacterium. RNAcentral's name for it is "bacterial SSU rRNA". It matches the Rfam family "Bacterial small subunit ribosomal RNA", at positions 97 to 520 of the family's 1533-position model. The record is from RNAcentral.
GGCGAACGGGUGAGUAACACGUGGGUAAUCAACCCCCGGCACCGGGAUAGCCCGGGGAAACUCGGAUUAAUACCGGACGGCCACCCGCUCUUCGGAGCGGCUGGAAAAGGUAGCUUCGGCCUCCAGCCGGGGACGAGCCCGCGGCGGAUUAGCUUGUUGGUGGGGUAACGGCCCACCAAGGCGACGAUCCGUAGCUGGUCUGAGAGGACGAUCAGCCACACUGGGACUGAGACACGGCCCAGACUCCUACGGGAGGCAGCAGUGGGGAAUCUUGCGCAAUGGGCGAAAGCCUGACGCAGCGACGCCGCGUGAGGGAAGAAGGCUUUCGGGUUGUAAACCUCUUUCAGGAGGGACGAAGCUACUCGGGUGAAUAGCCCAGAGGGUGACGGUACUUCCAGAAGAAGCCCCGGCUAACUACGUGCCAGCCGCCGCGG